GCUCAGUUGGUAAAGCACAAGGCUUUUGACCUUAUGGACGUGGAUUCAAGCCCCAC
Non-coding RNA from Triticum urartu, 56 nucleotides. The record is from Rfam. NCBI's taxonomy places the organism in Eukaryota, Viridiplantae, Streptophyta, Magnoliopsida, Poales, Poaceae.